UGCCAGCAGCCGCGGUAAUACGUAGGUGGCAAGCGUUAUCCGGAUUUAUUGGGCGUAAAGCGAGCGCAGGCGGAAGAAUAAGUCUGAUGUGAAAGCCUUCGGCUCAACCGAAGAAGUGCAUUGGAAACUGGGAGACUUGAGUGCAGAAGAGGACAGUGGAACUCCAUGUGUAGCGGUGAAAUGCGUAGAUAUAUGGAAGAACACCAGUGGCGAAGGCGGCUGUCUGGUCUGUAACUGACACUGAAACUCGAAAGCUGGGGGAGCAAACAGGAUUAGAUA
RNAcentral lists this ribosomal RNA (279 nucleotides) under uncultured bacterium. RNAcentral's name for it is "partial 16S ribosomal RNA". It matches the Rfam family "Bacterial small subunit ribosomal RNA", at positions 506 to 784 of the family's 1533-position model. The record is from RNAcentral.